Molecule: transfer RNA, 53 nt
Filed under: Parhyale hawaiensis
Lineage: Eukaryota; Metazoa; Arthropoda; Malacostraca; Amphipoda; Hyalidae
Description: tRNA-Ser
Source: RNAcentral
AGAUGAAUUUAAAGGACUUCUAAUCCUUCGUUAGUAUUAAAAUACUUCAUCUU